GUGUUCCUCUAAUUGGGAAAUUGCCGCGCCGAGGACGACCCCCUUCUCUGACGCCGCUAAUUGGAUAAUUGGCCUUCAGCUCCCGGUUGCACGCAGGAGGAACGUGGGUUGGACUGCAGAUGUAGACCUUUACAUCACAUCGAAAGUGUGACAUGGCAGAUGAAGGGACCCUUGGCAACCAAUCUGCUGUCCCCCUUUCGAUUUCUUACUUCCACGUUUGGGGAAUACGGCAGAUAUGGGGGAUGGUUGGUUGUAACCCUGUGAGAAAACCUUUGCAACCCCCAUCUCCUGCAGCCGACAAAGCAAAUAGUGUCGCUUGGGGAUGUGAAUUUUUAAUUAGCAUGGAUUUCAACUAAAGACAAAUCUAGGAUUAAUGUUAUAAAGUAAAGAAUAUUUCUUUCUUUUAUUUUGUGCUGUCGAUUAUCUGUUUUCUGUACGCUUAUAAUACAUCCUCUGACCUGGUUAUUAUCUGUCUGUAUGACUGCUACAACCAAACUAUGAACCUGAACCUGUUACUCUUCAUGUGUGAAUAUACUGAAUGCUACACUUAGAGAAAUCAGAGUGCGCUCUCUCACACACAUGCACACACAAAUGUACUGCAGAAGGCAGUACAUUUAGAGUAUGUACAUCACCUAUUAUUGUAAUUUCACUUUCAUAAGUUUUAAGGUGAUAAUGUGUUUACCAAAAAUGUCCCUGUUUCUACAUCUCCAGAACUCUGUUAGUCAAAGCAGGGUCGGGCUGUGCUGCUGCCAGCAAAUCAGCACUGCUGGUAUAAUUACACCAUGUUUAUUUUUGUGUUUUUUUAUUAAAACCUCAAUUUUGUUGGUUGUUCUUUCAGCAACCAACAGUAUAUAUCAUUGUUUUGAUGCUGUAUGUCAGAUGCAGACCAAAUAUGUGUUAAAAUAAUGAAGAAAUACAAAGCACAGACCAGGCCAUCACACAUGAGAUACAGACAAUAUGUGAAAAAUCCAGGAAUAACAGCUUUUAUUGGCUCUGUGCCUGUGUUCCUUCUGGAAAGCAUCUUAGCUAUAUAAACCAAAGCUACAUGGAUCUACAGAUCUAUACACAGCUGGAAUUUACAUUGUACUUUUUCACUUUGGCCUGUCACUCAAACUGUUGAUGAUCACCUCCCAUAACAUGUUUCAAUCUGUGCUUCAUGAAUAGAUUGUGACAGUCAGUGUGUAGGAUGUCCCUUUGAUGGAUAUGGACUUGUGUUCGCUGAGCAACUGCUUAUUACUGCUGGAGUAAAAAGGCUUAAAAUAUACUACACAAUCUAUUUGAUCACAUUUGAUGUUCUGUGGUGUUACUGUCUGAGAUUAAAUCUCACCUGGGUUAUAUCGUAAAUAGAGCAAAGAAAGAGCACCAAACCGGAUAAAGAUGGGGUCCAAAGUUUUAUCCAUUUAGACAUGACAAGGAAUUAAUAAAUUCUAAGAAAUUCCACAUAACAAAGCCUAUUUUAACUUCCUGGUCACUUUAAAAUGUUACUUCCUCACAGUAGCCAUUUUGACUUGUCAAAUAGGUAUAAUCAAUUAAACUUAAUGAUCUGUGUGAGAAAAGGUCUAUUUCUUUUAAUGUGAAGUCAUUCGUUUUUCCCUUUCGGUACAAUAUACGUGUGUGUAAUCAAUGAUGACCACACUGAAAAUUCUUGGUCUGCAAUCUAACAUCUCUAAAAAACUUUGAAUUAACCUACAUUUAAAUUCACCGAGAGGCUCAGUAAGGGUACAUUUUGGGG
This is a long non-coding RNA of Xiphias gladius (swordfish), 1732 nucleotides long. RefSeq lists it as uncharacterized. The transcript has 3 exons. The record is from RefSeq and is a predicted model, not a curated record. Lineage: Eukaryota; Metazoa; Chordata; Actinopteri; Istiophoriformes; Xiphiidae.